This 1174-nucleotide ribosomal RNA is filed under the name Burkholderia ubonensis. RNAcentral's name for it is "bacterial LSU rRNA". It matches the Rfam family "Bacterial large subunit ribosomal RNA", at positions 1 to 1213 of the family's 2925-position model. Lineage: Bacteria; Pseudomonadati; Pseudomonadota; Betaproteobacteria; Burkholderiales; Burkholderiaceae. The record is from RNAcentral.
GUUAUAGGGUCAAGCGAACAAGUGCAUGUGGUGGAUGCCUUGGCGAUCACAGGCGAUGAAGGACGCGGUAGCCUGCGAAAAGCUACGGGGAGCUGGCAAACAAGCUUUGAUCCGUAGAUGUCCGAAUGGGGAAACCCACUCCGUAUGGAGUAUCCAUGGCUGAAUACAUAGGCCAUGCGAAGCGAACGCGGUGAACUGAAACAUCUAAGUAACCGCAGGAAAAGAAAUCAACCGAGAUUCCCAAAGUAGUGGCGAGCGAAAUGGGAUGAGCCUUGCACUCUUUAUUUGUAUUGUUAGCCGAACGCUCUGGAAAGUGCGGCCAUAGCAGGUGAUAGCCCUGUAGGCGAAAACAGUAUGAAAGAACUAGGUGUGCGACAAGUAGGGCGGGACACGUGAAAUCCUGUCUGAAGAUGGGGGGACCAUCCUCCAAGGCUAAAUACUCGUGAUCGACCGAUAGUGAACCAGUACCGUGAGGGAAAGGCGAAAAGAACCCCGGGAGGGGAGUGAAAUAGAUCCUGAAACCGCAUGCAUACAAACAGUCGGAGCCUCGUAAGGGGUGACGGCGUACCUUUUGUAUAAUGGGUCAGCGACUUACGUUCAGUAGCAAGCUUAACCGUAUAGGGCAGGCGUAGCGAAAGCGAGUCCGAAUAGGGCGUUCAGUUGCUGGGCGUAGACCCGAAACCAGGUGAUCUAUCCAUGGCCAGGAUGAAGGUGCGGUAACACGUACUGGAGGUCCGAACCCACUAACGUUGAAAAGUUAGGGGAUGAGCUGUGGAUAGGGGUGAAAGGCUAAACAAACCUGGAAAUAGCUGGUUCUCUCCGAAAACUAUUUAGGUAGUGCCUCGUGUCUCACCUUCGGGGGUAGAGCACUGUCAUGGUUGGGGGGUCUAUUGCAGAUUACCCCGCCAUAGCAAACUCCGAAUACCGAAGAGUGCAAUCACGGGAGACAGACAUCGGGUGCUAACGUCCGGUGUCAAGAGGGAAACAACCCAGACCGCCAGCUAAGGUCCCCAAAUAUGGCUAAGUGGGAAACGAAGUGGGAAGGCUAAAACAGUCAGGAGGUUGGCUUAGAAGCAGCCACCCUUUAAAGAAAGCGUAAUAGCUCACUGAUCGAGUCGUCCUGCGCGGAAGAUGUAACGGGGCUAAGCCAUAUACCGAAGCUGCGGAUGCGUGC